RNAcentral lists this unclassified non-coding RNA (279 nucleotides) under plant metagenome. RNAcentral describes it as "partial contains small subunit ribosomal RNA, internal transcribed spacer 1, and 5.8S ribosomal RNA". The record is from RNAcentral.
UUUCCGUAGGUGAACCUGCGGAAGGAUCAUUAUUGUACAAAAUGUGAGGGGCAUGCGAGGUCUGUCUCUGCCCUAAAAGCCGUGUACGCCCGAGUGUGUCUUCUUGCAUAAUAAUCCAACCUACUUUUUGUGCUUUACCGCGUGGGACUCUUUCGGGUACAUCUCGGAAGGGCGACCUCCAACUCCCACACACCCACCUUUUAAAACUGUAAAAAACCCACCUUUAUGCAAUCACAACAACUUUCAACAACGGAACUUUUGGCCCUCGCAUCUACGAAC